This 236-nucleotide ribosomal RNA is filed under the name uncultured bacterium. RNAcentral's name for it is "partial 16S ribosomal RNA". It matches the Rfam family "Bacterial small subunit ribosomal RNA", at positions 99 to 334 of the family's 1533-position model. The record is from RNAcentral.
CGCACGGGUGAGUAACACGUAGGUAAUGUGCCUUUGGGUGGGGAAUAACUUAGGGAAACUUAAGCUAAUACCGCAUAAUGCGAUAACUUCUUCGGAAGAUAGUUGUUAAAGAUUUAUCGCCUAAAGAGCAGCCUGCGGCAGAUUAGCUAGUUGGUAAGGUAACGGCUUACCAAGGCUACGAUCUGUAUCCGACCUGAGAGGGUGGUCGGACACACUGACACUGAAUAACGGGUCAG